GUCCCAGUGUGGUGUAGUGGUAAGGAGCAGGGCUCAUAACCCAAAGGUUGUUGGUUCAAAUUCCCCCUGGGGCA
RNAcentral lists this transfer RNA (74 nucleotides) under Megalops atlanticus (tarpon). RNAcentral's name for it is "tRNA-OTHER". Lineage: Eukaryota; Metazoa; Chordata; Actinopteri; Elopiformes; Megalopidae. The record is from RNAcentral.